Molecule: long non-coding RNA, 1029 nt
Filed under: Sarcophilus harrisii (Tasmanian devil)
Lineage: Eukaryota; Metazoa; Chordata; Mammalia; Dasyuromorphia; Dasyuridae
Description: lncRNA (ENSSHAG00000022927.1)
Source: RNAcentral
AUGGAAAGCCAAGGUUUGAUUAUAAUUUUGAAGCAGAUCACUGAACUUUUAGAAAUUGUAAAGUACAUAUGUCCUUGGUUCUCUACGGAAAAAGAAUUGGAUCCAAAUGAGUGGAAAUUUGUAGGAGAACAACUAGGUGAAUACUACAAUUCUAAUCCAAACUCAAUGGAGUGGAAAUUAGUAGAAGAGGAUCUUUGUCAAUUCUGCAAUAAAAAUGGACCUGACUCAAUUUCCAAAGAUACACUUAAUACAUACAAUUUAAUACAACUGGCUAUAAAAAAUUAUAUAAGUAUUAGAAUGAAAAAAGAGCAGGAAGGGGAGGUGCCAACUAAACUAGGUGAAAAGGAGGAAGAAUCAGAUAAGAAUGGAGUUAAAUACAAUUUUGAGUGUGAUACUUCACAGCAGGAGAAAUUAGAUCAUUCCACAUCUCAUCACCCUCUCCCCUCAAUUAACCCUUCAUGGGUGGAGGAAGAAGGAAGAAGGGGAGAGGCAGAAACACAAUCAGCAUCUCCUGUGAAGCAGAAUAUGACAAGAUUAGAAAAGGCAUUGAUUAAGGCAAAAAAUGAAGGAGAAGAUAUAUCUGAUUUUAUAAAUGCAUAUCCUAUGAUUGAAGAACUCGACUCUUCAGGUCAAAAAGGGAGAAAAUACACUCUUUUUAAUUUGGAAAAAAUUAAGGAUUUGAAAAAGGGUUGCACUCUUUAUGGGGCUACAUCAUCUUAUGUUAAAAUGUUACUAAAUAAUUUGUCUUAUAAAAUCUUAACCCCAAAUGAUUGGAAAUCCAUAGUUAGGACAUGUUUAGAACCUGGACAAAAUUUGUUGUGGCUUUUGGAGUUUCAUGAAUUAUGUAGGAUUCAAGCCCAACACAUUAGGCAAACAGGAACUAAUGUACAAAUAGCUUUUGACCAACUAGCUAGUGAAGGUCAGUAUGGAGAGAAUUCAGAACAGAUUUAUUAUUCCAUACCAAUGUAUGAGCAAAUUUCUAAGGCUGCAAUAAAAGCUUGGGGUUCCCUCCCAGGACAAAAAGAAUGA